UAUCAGUACAAGUGUUAAUGAUGCUUUAUGCUUUAUGCUAUUUGAUUAUGCUACCAUUUUCUGUAAGAAAGGAACAAAGAAAAUUGUAAAAUGAUCUUGACUGGUUAUGAAAGACCAUGUCAACUUAAUUUGAACAAAUCAUACCAUUCAUGAACAUCCUAUUAGAUGGAAUAUGCAAGUAGAUGGGAUUCAAAUUCAAUUAUCCGAUAGAAUGAUAAAUGAUACCACCAAAUUCAACAUCUUUUAUUCAUCCUCUGAGAUGAUUAGUCAAGGUUACAGUAAGUUCAUAUGCAAUUCAUUAAGGUUUAAGACCAAG
RNAcentral lists this unclassified non-coding RNA (316 nucleotides) under Hevea brasiliensis (rubber tree). The record is from RNAcentral. Lineage: Eukaryota; Viridiplantae; Streptophyta; Magnoliopsida; Malpighiales; Euphorbiaceae.